This is a long non-coding RNA of Gossypium arboreum, 1209 nucleotides long. RefSeq lists it as uncharacterized. Lineage: Eukaryota; Viridiplantae; Streptophyta; Magnoliopsida; Malvales; Malvaceae. The transcript is spliced from 2 exons. The record is from RefSeq and is a predicted model, not a curated record.
UAAAAUGCCCAAAUCACCUUUAGAAAAAACCUUAUUUUCAUAAUACUUUUUACCUCUAGCUGCGUGACCGUUCUCCUUUUCACUCAAAAUCCCCCCAUUAUCUCCAUUAAAUCUCCCCCUAAGCCACCAUCCACCAUUAGCGGUGUAAACCUAGAACCCAAAAAGUCCUUUCCAGAUUUUGCACCUCCACUAGCCUGAGAAUCCCUUUUACCCCGCCGUGACUUUCUCUUGACCAACAUCCAAGGUUCGUAAUCGACUCCCUUUCCAUCAUUGUCUUCUCCCACGCCAUCACUGGAAGCCACCACUUCCUCAGUCAUCGGCCUUUUCAAAGCCACCUUAACCCUCACCGACAGGCAUAUUUCCUUAACAUGUCCAUACUUCUCGCAACUGAAACAAAUCGUCAGGAGUGCCUCGUAUUCAACCCGUUGGAUUACUCCAUCCACCAAGACUUUGGAGAUAACCUGGGAGACCCGGCAGAUGAAUCCAAGCCAACACCACACUGGGAUAGGGUUGCUCUGGAUUAAAAUUUUUCGUCCAUGGUUGCACAGUGAGGUAUUGCCUGAAUAUAAUCUAUGCUCCCUGGGUUAAAACUUUAUUGUAAUCUUCCAUUUCCUGAAAUUUCACCAAAAAAUAUCCAUUAGUAAUAUCCAUUAAGUGAAAAGAAUUGACCGGUUUCCAUAGAUUAAGGAUACGGUUUUAUAGCAUGUUAUAACCAAUGUUACGCCCGAGCAAUUUAAAAUAACAGUCGAUUCGAUCUCUUUGAACAGUAUGUCUUUAAUGCGAUCUAAAAAAGCGAUUACCGGAAUCCCAUUAACCAUUGACGUGUUAACAUCCCCAUCCUGUAAAACAAGAUCACAUUCGUUUCUUGUAAGGUACCUAUCGGGAGAAGUCAGUCCACCCCCAAAAAGUUUAUCUUUGAAAGACAUCAUCGACUGUUGAUCUGAGCCAACAACCAUGUUAGUCUCUUCUCCAUCAACUGCUUCUUUGAAACGAACUUUUUUGGUGUUCCGAUCCCCAUCGUCGCAAGGAUCGCUAAUUGCACCAAUACUAGGAUUUUCCAUUCGAGAGAGUCUCAAAAUUGUAAUCUUAACAUAGUAUAAUAGAAAAUGUUUUUCAUUGUAAAUGUUCUGCCCUUUAAUUUGUUUAUAUUUUCAUACUCUUUAAGUUGACACUACUUAUUGUUUAGAAAAAAAAUGAAUAUACAUUAAA